This 38-nucleotide non-coding RNA is filed under the name unclassified sequences. RNAcentral describes it as "DUF805b RNA". It matches the Rfam family "DUF805b RNA". From Rfam's summary of the family: Bacteroidetes, Chlorobi (1 example), Proteobacteria. Lineage (Flavobacteria) The record is from RNAcentral.
UAGGGGCAAGCUGAAAACCCUAGAGAAAAGAGUAGGCA